CACAGUAAACGAUGGAUGCCCGCUGUUUGCGAUAUACUGUGAGCGGCCAAGAGAAAUCGUUAAGCAUCCCACCUGGGGAGUACGCCGGCAACGGUGAAACUCAAAGGAAUUGACGGGGGCCCGCACAAGCGGAGGAACAUGUGGUUUAAUUCGAUGAUACGCGAGGAACCUUACCCGGGCUUGAACUGCCAGCGAACGAUUCAGAGAUGAUGAGGUCCUUCGGGACGCUGGUGGAGGUGCUGCAUGGUUGUCGUCAGCUCGUGCCGUGAGGUGUCGGCUUAAGUGCCAUAACGAGCGCAACCCUUUUCUUCAGUUGCCAUCAGGUCAAGCUGGGCACUCUGGAGACACUGCCACCGUAAGGUGUGAGGAAGGUGGGGAUGACGUCAAAUCAGCACGGCCCUUACGUCCGGGGCUACACACGUGUUACAAUGGCCGGUACAGAAAGUCGGAUGCCCAUAAGGUCAUUCUAAUCAAGAAAGCCGGUCCCAGUUCGGACUGAGGUCUGCAACCCGACC
This 515-nucleotide ribosomal RNA is filed under the name uncultured bacterium. RNAcentral's name for it is "bacterial SSU rRNA". It matches the Rfam family "Bacterial small subunit ribosomal RNA", at positions 798 to 1317 of the family's 1533-position model. The record is from RNAcentral.